Molecule: ribosomal RNA, 231 nt
Filed under: uncultured bacterium
Lineage: Bacteria
Description: partial 16S ribosomal RNA
Rfam family: Bacterial small subunit ribosomal RNA
Source: RNAcentral
CGGGUGAGUAACACGUGGGCAACCUUUCCUCUCGCGGGGGAUAACACCGGGAAACCGAUGCUAAUACCGCAUGUCGUCACUGAUCGCAUGAUUGGUGAAGAAAGCCGCAAGGCACGAGAGGCUGGGCCCGCGGCCUAUCAGCUUGUUGGUGGGGUAACGGCCUACCAAGGCGAUGACGGGUAGCUGGUCUGAGAGGACGGCCAGCCACACGGGGACUGAGACACGGCCCCG